UUAAGCGACUAAGCGUACACGGUGGAUGCCCUGGCAGUCAGAGGCGAUGAAGGACGUGCUAAUCUGCGAUAAGCGUCGGUAAGGUGAUAUGAACCGUUAUAACCGGCGAUUUCCGAAUGGGGAAACCCAGUGUGUUUCGACACACUAUCAUUAACUGAAUCCAUAGGUUAAUGAGGCGAACCGGGGGAACUGAAACAUCUAAGUACCCCGAGGAAAAGAAAUCAACCGAGAUUCCCCCAGUAGCGGCGAGCGAACGGGGAGCAGCCCAGAGCCUGAAUCAGUGUGUGUGUUAGUGGAAGCGUCUGGAAAGGCGCGCGAUACAGGGUGACAGCCCCGUACACAAAAAUGCACAUGCUGUGAGCUCGAUGAGUAGGGCGGGACACGUGGUAUCCUGUCUGAAUAUGGGGGGACCAUCCUCCAAGGCUAAAUACUCCUGACUGACCGAUAGUGAACCAGUACCGUGAGGGAAAGGCGAAAAGAACCCCGGCGAGGGGAGUGAAAAAGAACCUGAAACCGUGUACGUACAAGCAGUGGGAGCACGCUUAGGCGUGUGACUGCGUACCUUUUGUAUAAUGGGUCAGCGACUUAUAUUCUGUAGCAAGGUUAACCGAAUAGGGGAGCCGAAGGGAAACCGAGUCUUAACUGGGCGUUAAGUUGCAGGGUAUAGACCCGAAACCCGGUGAUCUAGCCAUGGGCAGGUUGAAGGUUGGGUAACACUAACUGGAGGACCGAACCGACUAAUGUUGAAAAAUUAGCGGAUGACUUGUGGCUGGGGGUGAAAGGCCAAUCAAACCGGGAGAUAGCUGGUUCUCCCCGAAAGCUAUUUAGGUAGCGCCUCGUGAAUUCAUCUCCGGGGGUAGAGCACUGUUUCGGCAAGGGGGUCAUCCCGACUUACCAACCCGAUGCAAACUGCGAAUACCGGAGAAUGUUAUCACGGGAGACACACGGCGGGUGCUAACGUCCGUCGUGAAGAGGGAAACAACCCAGACCGCCAGCUAAGGUCCCAAAGUCAUGGUUAAGUGGGAAACGAUGUGGGAAGGCCCAGACAGCCAGGAUGUUGGCUUAGAAGCAGCCAUCAUUUAAAGAAAGCGUAAUAGCUCACUGGUCGAGUCGGCCUGCGCGGAAGAUGUAACGGGGCUAAACCAUGCACCGAAGCUGCGGCAGCGACACUAUGUGUUGUUGGGUAGGGGAGCGUUCUGUAAGCCUGUGAAGGUGUGCUGUGAGGCAUGCUGGAGGUAUCAGAAGUGCGAAUGCUGACAUAAGUAACGAUAAAGCGGGUGAAAAGCCCGCUCGCCGGAAGACCAAGGGUUCCUGUCCAACGUUAAUCGGGGCAGGGUGAGUCGACCCCUAAGGCGAGGCCGAAAGGCGUAGUCGAUGGGAAACAGGUUAAUAUUCCUGUACUUGGUGUUACUGCGAAGGGGGGACGGAGAAGGCUAUGUUGGCCGGGCGACGGUUGUCCCGGUUUAAGCGUGUAGGCUGGUUUUCCAGGCAAAUCCGGAAAAUCAAGGCUGAGGCGUGAUGACGAGGCACUACGGUGCUGAAGCAACAAAUGCCCUGCUUCCAGGAAAAGCCUCUAAGCAUCAGGUAACAUCAAAUCGUACCCCAAACCGACACAGGUGGUCAGGUAGAGAAUACCAAGGCGCUUGAGAGAACUCGGGUGAAGGAACUAGGCAAAAUGGUGCCGUAACUUCGGGAGAAGGCACGCUGAUAUGUAGGUGAAGUCCCUUGCGGAUGGAGCUGAAAUCAGUCGAAGAUACCAGCUGGCUGCAACUGUUUAUUAAAAACACAGCACUGUGCAAACACGAAAGUGGACGUAUACGGUGUGACGCCUGCCCGGUGCCGGAAGGUUAAUUGAUGGGGUUAGCCGCAAGGCGAAGCUCUUGAUCGAAGCCCCGGUAAACGGCGGCCGUAACUAUAACGGUCCUAAGGUAGCGAAAUUCCUUGUCGGGUAAGUUCCGACCUGCACGAAUGGCGUAAUGAUGGCCAGGCUGUCUCCACCCGAGACUCAGUGAAAUUGAACUCGCUGUGAAGAUGCAGUGUACCCGCGGCAAGACGGAAAGACCCCGUGAACCUUUACUAUAGCUUGACACUGAACAUUGAGCCUUGAUGUGUAGGAUAGGUGGGAGGCUUUGAAGUGUGGACGCCAGUCUGCAUGGAGCCGACCUUGAAAUACCACCCUUUAAUGUUUGAUGUUCUAACGUUGACCCGUAAUCCGGGUUGCGGACAGUGUCUGGUGGGUAGUUUGACUGGGGCGGUCUCCUCCUAAAGAGUAACGGAGGAGCACGAAGGUUGGCUAAUCCUGGUCGGACAUCAGGAGGUUAGUGCAAUGGCAUAAGCCAGCUUGACUGCGAGCGUGACGGCGCGAGCAGGUGCGAAAGCAGGUCAUAGUGAUCCGGUGGUUCUGAAUGGAAGGGCCAUCGCUCAACGGAUAAAAGGUACUCCGGGGAUAACAGGCUGAUACCGCCCAAGAGUUCAUAUCGACGGCGGUGUUUGGCACCUCGAUGUCGGCUCAUCACAUCCUGGGGCUGAAGUAGGUCCCAAGGGUAUGGCUGUUCGCCAUUUAAAGUGGUACGCGAGCUGGGUUUAGAACGUCGUGAGACAGUUCGGUCCCUAUCUGCCGUGGGCGCUGGAGAACUGAGGGGGGCUGCUCCUAGUACGAGAGGACCGGAGUGGACGCAUCACUGGUGUUCGGGUUGUCAUGCCAAUGGCACUGCCCGGUAGCUAAAUGCGGAAGAGAUAAGUGCUGAAAGCAUCUAAGCACGAAACUUGCCCCGAGAUGAGUUCUCCCUGACUCCUUGAGAGUCCUGAAGGAACGUUGAAGACGACGACGUUGAUAGGCCGGGUGUGUAAGCGCAGCGAUGCGUUGAGCUAACCGGUACUAAUGAACCGUGAGGCUUAACCUU
RNAcentral lists this ribosomal RNA (2903 nucleotides) under Escherichia coli. Its description in RNAcentral is "bacterial LSU rRNA". It matches the Rfam family "Bacterial large subunit ribosomal RNA". The record is from RNAcentral. Lineage: Bacteria; Pseudomonadati; Pseudomonadota; Gammaproteobacteria; Enterobacterales; Enterobacteriaceae.